CGGGGGAACAUCGAGUCUUUGAACGCAAGUUGCGCCCGAUGCCAUUAGGUUGAGGGCACGUCUGCCUGGGUGUCACAUAUCGAAGCCUCCUUGACUAUUGUGCAGGGUGGAUGUUGGCCUCCCGUGAGCUGUUUCGUCUCAUGGUUGGUUGAAAAUUGAGACCUUGGUAGGGUGUGCCAUGAUAGAUGGUGGUUGUGUGACCCACGAGACCAAUCAUGCGCUUCUUCUCUAUUGAAUUCGGCCUCUUUUACCCAUAUGCGUUUCUAAACGCUCGUGAUGAGACCUCAGGUCAGGCGGGACUACCCGCUGAAUUUAAGCAUAUCAAUAAGCGGAGGAAAAGAAACUAACAAGGAUUCCCUUAGUAACGGCGAGCGAACCGGGAUAAGCCCACCAUGAGAAUCGGUCGCCCUCGGCGUUCGAAUUGUAGUUGAAAAAAACCGUCAAAAGG
RNAcentral lists this ribosomal RNA (448 nucleotides) under Vicia villosa subsp. villosa. RNAcentral's name for it is "eukaryotic LSU rRNA". The stretch from base 280 to 448 matches the Rfam family "Eukaryotic large subunit ribosomal RNA", at positions 1 to 171 of the family's 3401-position model. Lineage: Eukaryota; Viridiplantae; Streptophyta; Magnoliopsida; Fabales; Fabaceae. The record is from RNAcentral.